Pangasianodon hypophthalmus (striped catfish) is the source of this 2321-nucleotide long non-coding RNA. RefSeq lists it as uncharacterized. The transcript has 3 exons. The record is from RefSeq and is a predicted model, not a curated record. Lineage: Eukaryota; Metazoa; Chordata; Actinopteri; Siluriformes; Pangasiidae.
CCUGCACAUCAUACACACAGUCAGUACCAGAGCCACUUCCCGUGCUGCUAACCGCUAGCAGGCUAAUUCACAGAGCGGACAGUAAGUGAUCCUCCGCAGCACUCGGUGUGUGAGAGCACUGGGGUCUGACACACGGCCGCUUCACCCAGUGCAGUGCGCUAACGCUGGAGGAGGGACUCUGACUCACUGCGCCCUCAGACUCGCGCUGUUCCAUCUCUUUCUGUGUGAUGUGUACCUGCUGCCUGCGUCACUUCCGGCGGCUCACCGGAAACUCCUCCUGUCGCCUUGAUCCUCCAUAGUGGUCAGCACUGCUGCCUCGCAGCUGUAGGGUUGGGGUUCGAAUCAUCGAUUGGCCCCCCAUCCAGGGUUUUUCCCUCCUUGUGCCCCGAGCUCCCUGGGACAGGCUCCAGGCUCCAGGCUCCAGGCUCCCCGUGACCCUGUGUAGGAUGAGCGAUACGGAAAAUGGAUGGAUAUUCACCAUAUAUUUUUCACUCUUCUUCAUUAACUCCAGAUAAUAGCCUAUAUGGCUUCAACUUUUAAAUAAAAAACUAACUUGAUGUGAUUAUCUUAUGUAGAACUAAAUUUUAAAUAAAGCCAAAUAUUAAAUAAUGGUGUUAAAUAAUGACUUUUACACUAUUUAUCUAUAGUGCAUUAUACUUCAGCAUUGGAGGAGAAAAUAAACCUCUGUUCCUAAGAGAAUGAAAGUAGUUUGUAAUUGGUGCUGUAUGAAUUUACACAUUAAAACUUUACUGAAGUGCUGUUAUGUCGCCUGCAGAUGGCGCUAUUUAAUAAAGUCUCCUACAAACUUAUCCUGUCUGCUUUUUUGUCAGUAUUAUUCCUCUGUUCAUGAUGUAUGGAAAUUAGCACUACUGUUAGGUUUUCUGUAGAUCUGCAAUAAAGCUGAGGAUCGAUAUAACGCAGGAUAAGAAUGUAAAUCCAUCCACAUGAUGUAAAAGUAAAUGUGAUUUAUCAGACCAGGUUCUUUCUAUCAGAGCCAGCUUUAACUUUUCAGCAGUUUGUGCUACAGUGGCUCUUCUGUGGGAUCGGACCAGACGGACCUUCACUCCCCACACGCAUCAGUGAUCCUUGGGAGCCCAUGACCCUGUCGUCAGUUCACUGCUUGUCCUUCCUUGGACCACUUUUGGUAGGUACUAACCACUGCACACCGAGAACACCCCACAAGACCUGCUGCUCUGGAAAUGCUCUGACUCAGUCAUCUAACCAUCACAAUUUGGCCGUUGUCAAAGUCGCUCAGAUCCUUACGCUUGCCCAUUUUUCCUCCCGAACUGACUGUUCACUUGCUGCCUAAUAUAUCCCACCCCUUUACAGGUGCCACUGUAACGAGAUAAUCACUGUGAGAUAAUCACUUCACCUCUCAGUGGUUUUAAUGUUAUGGCUGAUCGGUGGAAGUGAUGAGUGUAGGGGUAUAUGAAGAGUGUAGGGGUAUAUGAAGAGUGUAGGGGUAUAUAGCAUAUAUAUAUAUAUGCUACCUCUGGGCAAAAUUAUCCGUAAACAUGGUAUUAGCUUCCACUGUUAUGCUGAUGACACACAGUUGUAUGUUUCAGCAAAGCCAGAUGACAGACACCAGCUUAAUAAAGUUGAGGAAUGUGUAAAAGACAUUAGAAACUGGAUGCUUAUUAACUUUCUCUUACUUAAUUCUGACAAGACAGAAGUACUUGUACUAAAGUACUUGUGUCUUUUAUGAUCCGCCACGCCUACAUAGAUCAAAAGGUGCAGGCUAUUUGUUGGUACCUCGAAUAGUGAAGGCUACAGCUGGGGGUAGAGCUUUCUCUUACAAAGCCCCACAGUUAUGGAACAGCCUUCCACUUAGUGUUCGGGGCUCAGACACAGUCUCAGUGUUUAAGUCUCGGCUGAAAACACAUUUGUUUAGUCAAGCCUUUAGUGAAUAGUUUUUUCUUAGGUACAGGAGCAGGUCUGGAGGGUUUCACAGGCAUAGAGUGUUGUGGUGAACUGGGAUGUUUGGAUGCUGUCGCCCCCCCACUCUCACACGUUCACUCAGGUUUGUCGACGGUGGAGUGGCUGGAGCUUUAUGUCCCAGGACUCCCUCAUGUCUGUGUUAGCUUCUGGCUCUCCCUUUUAGUUAUGCUGUCAUAGCUAGUCUUGCCGGAGUCCCUGCUUGCACUCUGCAUGCAAAGUACAUCGUGCUUAACCUCUCUCUCCAUCUCUCUCUCUCCCUCACUCUCUGUCGAGCUACACAUGCUACUUCUGAGAUGCCAGUGAUCCUGACCCCUUCUGCUCCUCCUCGCUGCCUGACCCAUCCUGAUGCUCUACUUCUGGUUGGAGUUCUCAUCGGAUGAGUU